AAAAAGAAACACGUACUUAAAUAAUGAUUAUUCAAUUAAAAUAUAAUGCACAAAAGUUACAUUAAAAUUGUACCUAAAUUGUAUCUAAAUAUUUAAAAACAAAUAGUUAUUGAACAUUAAAUGCAAAUGUGUUAUACUUUCAAGGUAAAUACAACUUAAUUGUACUUAGUUAGUGAAUAUUCCGCAUACCACUAGAGGGAGCCCGUGUACCACUAGUGGUACUGAUACCACACCAUUGCCGCUUUUCCAUGACAAGUACAAGAACGGCCUGGCCCCGCUCUGCCCUGGCUUCACUUGGCCGGUCUGGCCUCUGUUGCUUUUCCAUUACAACAGGCACCAAUCACAAGUGGGAGGGAUUGGAGCAGGAUCAAGAAGAAGGUGACACGCUUGUUUCUUGUCACGCCUUCCAUUUCGCUGUAUUUCAGCUUCUGCCAAUAUGGAUAAAAAUGCCCGCACCUCCUCUGUCGAUUUGAUGCUGUGUAUUCAGUAUCUUUUACUUUAUCACAUUCCUUAAACCAUAAACAGAUAGCUUCAUAGUUAAGGAAGAAGCAAGUUGCUGAAGAGUGAGGGAGUUGGCGAGAAUAAAAGCGAGAGUGUGGAUUGAAAGGAGGCUCACUGGCUCCAUUCUUUUGAACGUCCCCAGCAUGUACGUACAUUUGCGUACAUUCUGGUCACAAGCUUUGCUUUUUCAUCAGCAGAUUGACCAGUUGCUGAAAGCGAAAGGACUGCGGGGCAUGGUUGUGGAAACAGAUGUGCUAGCAGCGGAUGCUAAUACUUCAAACAGAAUUCCACAGACGGAGAGAAAAGGCACUUUCCAUCCUGGUGCUGAAUGUAAGUACACCCCAGCUGUACCUGAUAACAAGCUGUCACACUACCAAAGAAGCGUGGGACACACUGAGAGGAGAUUUUGAGAGAGACACACUUGCAAAUAAACUGUUCCUAAAGAAAAAAUACUUUAGAUGUGAAAUGAAGGACGGAAAAAGUUUAACUGAACAUCUAAAACGAAUGAAGGAAUUGACUGACCAGCUUAGAGCAAUAGGUGCUGUAAUUGAAGACGAAGAUCAUAUUGUAACUCUCCUGGGUAGCUUGGCAUCAAGCUAUGUUACAAUUGUCACAGCAUUAGAAACAAACAUGGACCACUUGACACUGCACUUUGUUCAGCAAGCAUUAAUGAAUGAAGAACAAAAGAAAAUGCAAGCUGAUGGUGUUUAUGGUGGUACCGCAUCCAGUGGUCCAUCAGCCAUGUCAACACAAGUUCGGGGAGAGAUGCAACCGAAUGCUAAGGCAGUGGGACCUGACAGAUUCAGCUCAUGGAGAUGUUACAAGUGUGGGAAAGAAGGUCAUAUAAAGUGUGACUGUCCACAAAACAUAAGGAAAAAUAAAACCCACAAGGCCAAAAGUAUCAUUUGGGAAGAUGCAGAAGACUCAUUUGAGAGUGCCUUUGUCGCAAAAGGGACAAAUCAGGAUGAAAUGUCACCACAGGCUCAGUGGUUGGUUGACUCUGGAGCAUCAAAGAUGAAAAGACGACUUGACAUGAAGAAAGUCUUCAAGACUACCAACAUUUUUCAGAGCCACAGUCUGUAAAACUCAAUGAUGGCAUGUUUGUGGAUGCACAAGGAUUUGGCAACAUCAAACCAAAAAUGACAUUGAAAGUAAGUGAUGAAUAAACGUCACAAUGUACGAUGUGCUGUCUGUUCCCAUGCUAUCUGGAAAUAUUUUCUCAGUGGGAGCUGCUAACAGAAAAGGAAAUACAGUGCAGUUCAAGAUAUCUUGUUGCUACAUUCGAGGAAAAAAUGGGAACACAAAGAUCUGAUGGAUUGGAUCAGCUGGACGUCGAGGGAAGUUUGCCGGUGCGUCAUGGUGCAACAAGUGCAUCAGUAGCAGCCAACCUGUAGCAUCAGCGCCUGGGCCACACCAGGAAGUUGAAGGAACUCAAACAUCUGCUAAAUCUGAGUGGAUUUUACUUCAGAAAAAGAAGUUCCCUUCUGUGAAGCGUGUGUGGAGGGAAAGCUUUCAAGCCAGUGGGAGAGAUUGGCUCCCAACGUAAGUUACAGUUGAUCCAUAGUGACAUCUGUGGUCCCAUGCAGACCGAGUACAUAGGUGGAGCAAAGUACUGACUUUUAUUAAUGACCAUACCAGAUGCUGCAAGGUCUACUUCAUUAAACAGAAAUAUGAAGUUCUUAGCAAAGUCAAGGAAUUUGAAAAUACUUUUUGACUCUGGGCAGAAAGUCACACAGCUGAGAACAGACAAUGGUGUAGGAUACACAUCCAAUGUGUUUCAAGAAUACCUGAAGGCUCAAGGUAUUCACCAUGAGAUGACUGUACCUCACACACCUCAGCCAAAUUGUGUUGCAGAAAGGAAAAACAGGACACUAAUUGAAGAUGCUAGAAGUAUGGUGUCUCAUGCUAAGUUGCCAAAGAUGUGCUGGGAAGAGGCUGUAGUAACUGCAGCUUAUAUACAGAACAGGUUGCCUACAUCUGCUCUGAAGAAAGAGACACUGUACCAUAGAUGGAGUGGCAAAAGGUCCAACAUGAGUCACAUCAAAGUGCUUGGCUGUAUUGCCUAUGGCACGUCCCAGAAAGACGAAAACUGGACAAGAAAGCUGUGAAACUUCACUUCAUGGGAUAUGCAAACAAUGCAAAAGGCUACCGUCUAUUGGAUACAGACACAAGGAGGAUUUUCAUUCGUCGAGGUGUCAUCUUCAAUGAAUCAGACUUCGGCUGGAAACAGGAAGGGGAAGUAUCCUGUUCACAGAAUGAAACAUCCAUCAAUACAGAUGAAAAGGGAACACCAGCUGACAAGGCCACUGUCAGUGAAUCUCCAAGACAAAGCAGAAGAAUCAGAAAGCCUCCAAAGAGAUGUGGAUAUGAUGAGUUUGCUGACAUUGUAAUUGACCAUUAUGCUAAUAUGUGUUUUGUUACAGAGCCAAACACACUGAAAGAAGCACUGACGAGUCCCAAUGCAAAGAAAUGGCAGGAAGCGGAUGACUUGGAAUAUGAGUCAGUGAUAGAAAACGAAACAUGGGACUUAGUGACUCUACCAAAGGAUUGCAAGGCUAUUGGAUUAAGUUGGGUGUUCAAAGUCAAGCAUCACAGCGACAGAAGAGUGGAGAGACAGUGUAGACUCGCUGUCAAAGGCUACUCACAGACGUAUGGUGCUUACUACGAUGAAACGUUUUCACCUGUGGUACGAUACAGCUGAUUCGUACAUUACUGUCCUUUGCUGUCCAGAAUAAUCUACAUGUACACCAGAUGGAUGUAGUAACUGCAUUUAUAAAUAGAUACCUGGAAGAAGAAAUCUACAUGGAGCAACCAGAAGGAUACAUCCAAUCAGGUCAGGAACAUCUGGUGUGUAAACUGAACAAGUCAAUAUAUGGACUGAAACAGUCUCUAGGCUUUCAGUUUAUGGAGGAUAUUGGGUUUAAACAGAGCACAUCAGACCCAUGUGUGUUUUUGAGACUUCAACAGAAGCUAGAGAUACUAGCUGUGUAUGUACAUGAUCUGAUUCUGAUCACAGAAUCAACAGAAACCAUGGAUGAAUUGAAACAAGCGCUCAAGAAGCGCUACAAGAUGAAGGGCAUGGGUGAGCUGUCUUAUAUCCUGGGCAUCUCUGUUGUUCAAGACAAAGCAAAAGACUGUGUCUUUCUUCACCAGAAGCAUUACAUUGAAACGAUUCUCCAGAAGUAUGGAAUGUAUAAUCCUACUCCUGUUGUAACCCCUGCUGGCAAGCAGUGAGCGUUGUGUCAAAGUUCAAUGCAAACCCAAAUACUGCACAUGUGACAUCUGUGAAAAGAAUUCUUCGGUACUUGAAGGGCAUAGUGAACCUUGCCCUCAAGUAUGAAUGGUCAGAAUUGGGAACUUUGAUGGGUUUCUCAGAUGCUGACUGGGCUGGAUAUUAGGAUGACUGUUGCUCAACAACCGCUAAUGUAUUCUUACUGAGUGGAGGAGCAGUAAGUUGCCUAAGUAAAACACAGACAACAGUUUCACUCUCAACUGCAGAAGCUGAGUAUGUUGCACUCAGCCAAUCACCUCAAGAAAGUACCUGGUUGAAGCGGUUACUGACUGAUCUUGGAAUGAGUGAUUCACCAACAGUGAUCCUGCAAGACAAUCAAGGAGCCAUCGCAAUCAUUAAGAAUCCCUUGACAUUCACUCACACUACAUUUGUGAGUGUGUCAGAAAUGGGCAAAUACAAGUGCAGUAUUGUCCAACAGUUGAUAUGAAGGCAGAUAUCUUCACCAAGCCACUGACAAGACAAACAUUUGAGCAUCUUAAGAGCGAGAUUGGGCUUUACCCUGUACUGUUUACUGUAAGGUUAAAAAGGAGUAAGUGAAAACUCUUACAGGUUUGAAUGAUCUAUUUCUAUUAUUGACAUGAUUUAUGAUGUGGAGCACUGUUAUUAAUUAUGGAAAUUACUAAAGUGCUUAAAUGUCCGUGUAAAAUUAAGUUGGAGUGUUGUGAAACAGUAAUUUGACACUGUGUUGAUAAGGUGUUAGACUGCUUCCUACUGACUAUUUUUGUAACUGUUCUAUCACCUGAAUAAAAAACACAUUUACAACAAUAGGGGCAGCAGUGGUUUGGCACACGAGGACGCCACCUGGGAUGUCACCUGGCCUGCUGUCACACUUCAGCCAAGAAAACACAGAUUGCAAGCCCUUUGAUGAGUUUGAAAUUUGAGGUUCCACAGUAUCUGGGCAUUAUGCGUGUGUAACUUUGGAAACCCUUCAGCAAAACAACACGAAGUGAUUUAAAAUGUAUACGGAAAAAUGCAGAACAUGGAACAAGAGUCCACUAAGAAUCAAUUUUCUAUGGACUUCAAUUGAUACUAAUGAAGUUGUAUGACAGCAUUAAAACUCAAACAUGCAAGACGACAUGCUGACUUGAAUCGGUCCCAAGAUUUCCCUACAAACUACUAAACGACAGGCAUUGCAUCUCAGCUGCGGAGCGCCUGUCCAUUUGUCUCCGGCGAGUGGCAAUUUCGUGUCGUUAUUAAUUGGUGUGUCACACUAAAUUAAUAUUCACCGUACCUACUAAUGCUGCGUUCACUGGAUGUUUACAUAAUAAAGUCAAUGGAGUUGUUCGUGUGAAUAGACGCGAAUCUGUACUGGGUGAUGUGUAUGAUGCGUUAGAUGCGUCGCGAGUGGGGCGUUCGCUCGAGUUGGGAGAUUUGAACUUCAAGCGAAAUUCGAGUCGUGACAGCCAAUCAGCAUCGAGAAUGGACUAGGUCACACACAGCGUCCUGUACACAUUUGUUGAGUAGAGAAUAAUGAAGGAGGUGACUGUUGCAGUCUGUAGGCACCCUGAGCUGUAUGACACGACAUGUUAUCAGUACCGGGACUGAGCAAGAAAGGAGCAGGCUUGGAAAGUUGGCGUACCUGGUAAUGUAUGUAUGUAUGUAUGUAUGUAUGCAUGUCUGCAUGUGUUUAUUUGUAUAUAUGUCAAUAUUCUAACAGGCAUAUUUGUUAGAACUGGUUUGGUUUUAACUCCUCAUCUAUUAUUGAUUCUUGUGUGCUGUGUUGCUGUAUUUUACUGUUAAUAUUGUAUUACUUUUAUAUUUUUCUUUUUACCAAGGAUGUGUAAGAUGACCUUAAGUGACAUGAAAGGUGGCCAUAAAGUACUUUUAUUAGGUAACCUGUUGAGCUAAAAAUAAAUAAAAUCUCUUAGCCUGUGUAGAAGUUCCUGCUUGACACUGUCUGGCACAGAGGCUGUGAAAGAAAUUCGUACCCACGAUUGGAAUAGAACACAAAGCUUGGAAACAGAAAGUGCACAGCAUAUUUAUGCAAUGUCAUGUAAGUAUAAAAUUAUGAUGUUGAUCCUGUUAAGUAACAUGCAUUUAAUAAUCCUUUUUUUAAGGGAUGUGUUGAGUGUUUUAGGUUGGACUCACUGACUCAGCCCGAAUGCCUGUCAGCAAAUCCGUAAAAGUCACAUGAGUGAUUGUUUAGCUCUACAUUCAUUGAGCAUUGGCUCCGCGAAGCAGUUCAGUUACGGUACCUCUUCCUUUAGGAAUGAUCUUUAUCACCAUGCCCUCCACAGUGACAUGCUCCAAGCCCUUUUCUUUGAUGACUUCUGCAAAUAAACACUAGUGCUAUUUUUAACUAAUACCAAUGGAACCUUGGGGGGGGGGAAGCCCUAGAGAGAAAACCAAACAAAAGCUAAGAACAAGCACUUAACCCUCAUAACAGGCUUAACAUAACAUCACAGCAAGUUGGCUAACAGAGCAACAUUAGGUUUUCCCUGGUAACUGAAUUCAAUGGCAGGAAUUUGUGGUGGGAGGAUCGAUCAAAAUAACGAUAAUAUUGAUACCAAGUCAGUAUUGGUAUCGGAUCGAUACUAGCGUGAUGAAAUCGAUACAGUAUACAGCUCUUGUAUGCACUGCUGCGGUUUCGUCAAGCAGGCGAGACCUAGACUGCUUCUGUCUCAGCGCGGAGCAGGCACACUUUUCUCCUCCUCCCCCUUUUGUGUUUCGAUUUUGUGUCAUCACAUGCAUCUCAAAGCAAGCAAGGCUCGGAUCCGCCCACCCACCAGCACACGGAUAACGCAUCCAUCCACAGAAACACUAAGCAGAAGAAUGGCAGAGAGGAAGAGGAGCGCUAUGUGGCUAUAUUUUCAGGCUGAAAAUGAGACAAUGGCUGCUGCAUAUGAAAAGUGCUUCAUUUGCAGCAGUGCCCGCAACCUAGUCAGCCAGCCACCAGGGGGCGAACGUAUGGUUAAGGCAAUUAAGGCUUCAUUAAGGGCCGGUACCGCGCUCCAUGGCCAACUUCAAAUUCAAAGCUUAUAAUCGCAUUGAUGUCCAAUAUAGAAAUAUAUGAAGCUUUUAUUUUGACGUUGGCCCUCUCAGCAUGUUGGCGGAGAGGUGGCGUGUCACGGUAAGACACUAUUAGCAAUCGUUGUAGCGGCUGCCUUGACUUCAACUUUUCGGCUGGCCUGACCACAGUAAAAAAAUAAAAAUAAAAUAAAAAUAAAAAAAUGCCAGAAGUAAAUAGAGAGGGAAAUCACAACUGUUGAGUUCUUUGCAGUUUGUGACCGUGCAUGACUGACAAAUGGUUGUUUGUUUCUAUGUGCCCUGCGUUUGGCUGGCGACCAGUUCAGGGUGUGCCCCGCCUUUCGCCGGAAGAUAGCUGGGAUAGGCUCCGACACACCUGCGACCCAAGUGAGGAUAAGCGGAACGGAAGACGAAUGAAUGAAUGAAUCUAUCAUUUAUUCUUAUUGAAAGCUUUAUUUUGCACUGGAAACUGUAACAUAUUGUUUGUUGAAAAGUAGUGCAAUAAAAAAAUAUAUUUUUUCCCUUAA
This is a long non-coding RNA of Phyllopteryx taeniolatus (common seadragon), 7287 nucleotides long. RefSeq lists it as uncharacterized. The transcript is spliced from 2 exons. NCBI's taxonomy places the organism in Eukaryota, Metazoa, Chordata, Actinopteri, Syngnathiformes, Syngnathidae. The record is from RefSeq and is a predicted model, not a curated record.